RNAcentral lists this long non-coding RNA (201 nucleotides) under Capsicum annuum. RNAcentral describes it as "long non-coding RNA (CANN_LNC009693)". Lineage: Eukaryota; Viridiplantae; Streptophyta; Magnoliopsida; Solanales; Solanaceae. The record is from RNAcentral.
AAUAUUUCUCUACAUAUGUGAAGUAGCUUGAGUAGAACAAAAAUAUCCCCUAAGAAAAAACCUAGCAAUAUGCCCUCUUUCACCACAAGUAUAACAAGGGCCACCAACUCCAAAACAAUGCCCACUUUGAUUCCUACCAUAAUUAGAACAUUUUGGAUGUUGCUCAAAUUGAAAGAAACUGCUACCCUUCCUCUACUACUG